CUAUAAUCCGCACUUCCAUUGGGGAGUAGCCGCUCCGCCGUCACCGUCCCGCGCAAUGCGGGAGCCGGAACGCGGAGGCGUACGUCAACAGACUUGACCGCUUGCGGUUAUGGCGUGCGCAGCUUCCGGGACCAGGGCCUGCCAUCCGGCGCGGCCCGUGCCCAGGGCCUGGCGAGACCGAUGACGUCGCUUUUCCGGACAGGGCCGGGGAAG
RNAcentral lists this small RNA (213 nucleotides) under Cupriavidus sp. USMAA2-4. RNAcentral describes it as "Manganese Mn2+ riboswitch aptamer (yybP-ykoY)". It matches the Rfam family "Manganese Mn2+ riboswitch aptamer (yybP-ykoY)". Rfam says of the family: This RNA was originally discovered in E. coli during a large scale screen and was named SraF. RNAcentral also lists the same sequence under 1 other name. Lineage: Bacteria; Pseudomonadati; Pseudomonadota; Betaproteobacteria; Burkholderiales; Burkholderiaceae. The record is from Rfam by way of RNAcentral.